RNAcentral lists this ribosomal RNA (267 nucleotides) under uncultured bacterium. RNAcentral's name for it is "partial 16S ribosomal RNA". It matches the Rfam family "Bacterial small subunit ribosomal RNA", at positions 92 to 354 of the family's 1533-position model. The record is from RNAcentral.
CGACCGGCGCACGGGUGAGUAACACGUAUGGAACCUGCCCUAUGGCAGGGGGAUAAGCGGAAGAAAUUCCGUCUAACACCGCAUAACACCUUUAGGAGACAUCUUCUUGGGGUCAAAGGAGGCGACUCCGGCAUAGGAUGGCCAUGCGUCGCAUUAGCUAGUCGGCGGGGUAACGGCCCACCGAGGCGACGAUGCGUAGGGGUUCUGAGAGGAAGGUCCCCCACACUGGUACUGAGACACGGACCAGACUCCUACGGGAGGCAGCAG